UACGAAGGGGGCUAGCGUUGCUCGGAAUCACUGGGCGUAAAGGGUGCGUAGGCGGGUCUUUAAGUCAGGGGUGAAAUCCUGGAGCUCAACUCCAGAACUGCCUUUGAUACUGAAGAUCUUGAGUUCGGGAGAGGUGAGUGGAACUGCGAGUGUAGAGGUGAAAUUCGUAGAUAUUAGGAAGAACACCGGUGGCGAAGGCGACUUUCUGGCUCGUAACUGACGCUGAGGCGCGAAAGCGUGGGGAGCAAACAGGAUUAGAAACCCUUGUAGU
This 271-nucleotide ribosomal RNA is filed under the name uncultured bacterium. Its description in RNAcentral is "partial 16S ribosomal RNA". It matches the Rfam family "Bacterial small subunit ribosomal RNA", at positions 524 to 794 of the family's 1533-position model. The record is from RNAcentral.